RNAcentral lists this transfer RNA (76 nucleotides) under Ruminococcaceae bacterium D16. RNAcentral's name for it is "tRNA-Pro". It matches the Rfam family "tRNA". Rfam says of the family: Transfer RNA (tRNA) molecules are approximately 80 nucleotides in length. Their secondary structure includes four short double-helical elements and three loops (D, anti-codon, and T loops). Lineage: Bacteria; Bacillati; Bacillota; Clostridia; Eubacteriales; Oscillospiraceae. The record is from RNAcentral. RNAcentral also lists the same sequence under 19 other names.
CCGGGUGUAGCGCAGUUGGUAGCGCGCAUGGUUCGGGUCCAUGAGGCCGUGGGUUCAAAUCCCGCCACUCGGACCA